This 92-nucleotide ribosomal RNA is filed under the name Escherichia coli. RNAcentral's name for it is "partial 16S ribosomal RNA". It matches the Rfam family "Bacterial small subunit ribosomal RNA", at positions 1 to 93 of the family's 1533-position model. The record is from RNAcentral. Lineage: Bacteria; Pseudomonadati; Pseudomonadota; Gammaproteobacteria; Enterobacterales; Enterobacteriaceae.
AAAUUGAAGAGUUUGAUCAUGGCUCAGAUUGAACGCUGGCGGCAGGCCUAACACAUGCAAGUCGAACGGUAACAGGAAACAGCUUGCUGAUU